Molecule: ribosomal RNA, 439 nt
Filed under: uncultured bacterium
Lineage: Bacteria
Description: partial 16S ribosomal RNA
Rfam family: Bacterial small subunit ribosomal RNA
Source: RNAcentral
CUACGGGGUGCUCCAGUGAGGAAUAUUGCACAAUGGGGGGGACCCUGAUGCAGCAACGCCGCGUGGGGGAUGACGCAUUUCGGUGUGUAAACUCCUUUUAUAUGUCAAGAAAAUGACGGUAGCAUAUGAAUAAGCACCGGCUAACUCCGUGCCAGCAGCCGCGGUAAUACGGAGGGUGCAAGCGUUACUCGGAAUCACUGGGCGUAAAGGACGCGUAGGCGGGUUGGAAAGUCAGGUGUGAAAUCCUACAGCUUAACUGUAGAACUGCACUUGAAACUUCUAAUCUAGAGUAUGGGAGGGGGAGAUGGAAUUAGUGGUGUAGGGGUAAAAUCCGUAGAUAUCACUAGGAAUACCUAAAGCGAAGGCGAUCUCCUGGAACAUUACUGACGCUAAGGCGUGAAAGCGUGGGGAGCAAACAGGAUUAGAUACCCCCGUAGUC